RNAcentral lists this ribosomal RNA (465 nucleotides) under Vreelandella stevensii. RNAcentral describes it as "partial 16S ribosomal RNA". It matches the Rfam family "Bacterial small subunit ribosomal RNA", at positions 338 to 795 of the family's 1533-position model. Lineage: Bacteria; Pseudomonadati; Pseudomonadota; Gammaproteobacteria; Oceanospirillales; Halomonadaceae. The record is from RNAcentral.
CCUACGGGAGGCAGCAGUGGGGAAUAUUGGACAAUGGGGGGAACCCUGAUCCAGCCAUGCCGCGUGUGUGAAGAAGGCCCUCGGGUUGUAAAGCACUUUCAGUGAGGAAGAACGCCUGGUGGUUAAUACCCAUCAGGAAAGACAUCACUCACAGAAGAAGCACCGGCUAACUCCGUGCCAGCAGCCGCGGUAAUACGGAGGGUGCGAGCGUUAAUCGGAAUUACUGGGCGUAAAGCGCGCGUAGGUGGCUUGAUAAGCCGGUUGUGAAAGCCCCGGGCUCAACCUGGGAACGGCAUCCGGAACUGUCAAGCUAGAGUGCAGGAGAGGAAGGUAGAAUUCCCGGUGUAGCGGUGAAAUGCGUAGAGAUCGGGAGGAAUACCAGUGGCGAAGGUGGCCUUCUGGACUGACACUGACACUGAGGUGCGAAAGCGUGGGUAGCAAACAGGAUUAGAUACCCCUGUAGUC